GUGCCAGCAGCCGCGGUAAGACGUAGGGGGCCAGCGUUGCUCGGAAUUACUGGGCGUAAAGGGUCCGUAGGCGGUGCGGCAAGUCGGGGGUGAAAUCUCUGGGCUUAACUCAGAGGCUGCCUCCGAAACUGCCGUGCUCGAGUGCGGGAGAGGCGAGCGGAAUUGCAGGUGUAGCGGUGAAAUGCGUAGAUAUCUGCAGGAACACCCGUGGCGAAGGCGGCUCGCUGGACCGUGACUGACGCUGAGGGACGAAAGCUAGGGGAGCAAACAGGAUUAGAAACCCGUGUAGUCC
This 292-nucleotide ribosomal RNA is filed under the name uncultured bacterium. Its description in RNAcentral is "partial 16S ribosomal RNA". It matches the Rfam family "Bacterial small subunit ribosomal RNA", at positions 505 to 796 of the family's 1533-position model. The record is from RNAcentral.